Molecule: long non-coding RNA, 669 nt
Organism: Daphnia carinata
Lineage: Eukaryota; Metazoa; Arthropoda; Branchiopoda; Diplostraca; Daphniidae
Exons: 6
Source: RefSeq, a predicted model, not a curated record
CAGGAUGAAUGGUGCACAUUUGAAUGUGGGGAUAACCCAAGUGAGAUUGCAGAAAAAAUAAUAUCUUUCGUCUGCUGAUCGCCUCCUGAUAUGUUCGUCUUAACCGGGCCAAGAUGUGCAACUUUCAACGAGUUUCGAGGCGCCAUUCAGGAAAAAGUGACGAGUUGAAGCAAAAGGAAAUCCACAACAACGGGGACGAUACGGAUAUGUUAAAAUAUCUCUGUCACGAAAUACGGGAUUGACGAGAUCGGCUAGUGAAUGUCCACUUUCCAGUUGAAGAAGAAAGUGGCGAUGUUUUUGUUGCUUGGCUGCUCCCCUUUACCUUACCCGGGAUAUGCUACGUAAAACCGGCUGGAACAUUUGUUGGUGUAAAAUUUCGAAAUAUCGCUGAACUUUCGGAUGAAGACUUGGGAUGAGAUGCUGUAUCGUUCCAAUAGUAGGAAAGAGGGAUGGUUAGGAACAAGCAUUUAAAAACGAUUGUUUUGAAAAAACGCCGAAGGAAAUUGGCGAAUUGUUGCUAUGAAAAGCUGUCCAUUUUAACCAAAAAAAAAACAACUUUGAGUUUCAUAAAAGAGGCAACAGCUGCUCAAGUUAACUCUCGGGCAAAGUGAGUCGACGUGACAAUUUGAUUGACUGCUGGACAACGUCAAACUUGACCGUUGGUGAGAG